CUCCAGCCUCCCAGUCUCUCGGAAUCCGCAGCCUAGGUGUGGCGCCCCGACCGGACUUUCACUUCUGGCCAGCCCUUUCCCCACCUGGGCGCGGGAGCGGGUGCCAGUCUUUAAACAACCUCUCGAUGGGUCCCACGAAGAUGUUUCCAGACCCUUGGAAUGCCAAGUUCAAGUUUAGCUAUGUCUCGCGGAGAGGCCGGUGGAAGAAGCAACGAGGUGAUCUUUCCUGCUUGGCAUCGGCAUCCUGGAACCCCGCGACCCUCCUCCUCGCAGGGGUCUCGGGACCCUCACCCUCUCAAGCGGGAACCGGCGUCUGGCGGGGGCGGGGGUGGGGGCGUUCUCGGGUUGCUGCUACCCAGCGGGGCGUGUGCUUGCCGUUUGUUAGAAUGCGGCUGACCAAAGGGUAGAAAAGGGGAAAGAUUAGGGAUCCACGAGGCUAAUAAAUUCUCAGUGGCUGCACACUUUCGGAACCGGGAAGCUCGGGGGCUUCCCCCGGAGCGGGCCCUGCAGCUGGGAUCCAAGUGAGCUGAGCUUCCCCGCCCUCCCAACCGCGUCCUGGGCCCUACUUCCUGCCCUUGCCUCCCCAACCCUGCAUCCCGCCCCGCACUUCCCGCACGUGGGUGUGGCCGGGCCCUCUCUAUUAAAGCAAGAGUGCCCUAGGACAAAGCCGCCCCUGUCCCGGACAGAGUGGAAUAAGAGCGCCUCCUUCAAUCCCCACUCGCGCCUGCACCCAGAGCACCUGGGACACAGCGGCUCUGUCUUGGAGAACAGGUGCCUCAAUAGGGAGGGCCUGGCCAAACCUAUGCGCGGGAAGUGCGGAGCGGGAUGCAGGGGUGGGGCGGCAGGUGCAGGUAGUAGAGCCCAGGCAUGCGGUUGGGGGGUGGGGGGAAAUCUCACGUGCGAUCCCAGGUGCGGAACCCGCUGCUGGGAAUGGGGUGGAAGCAAAACAGGUACUGCACGCACAGGCGAGGUGCCUCGUGGGGGAAUCGAAUGUCAGGGAUGGUGGACAGUGCGGAUGGGCGGCAGGUGCUGGGGCUCAGGGGAGAUAACUCAGAGGCAGGCUCGGUGGAGAACCCAAGGCCGGCGACCAGGUGCAGGCGGCCCACAGGCCCUGGAGGCAUACAGCGGGGGGACAAGGUGGGAAGGAGGCCUAUGCCCCAAGAGCUCAACCUGUGCUGCAUCCAGGCCAGCUGCCACCCAGGGUAUGGGCCGCAGAUGCCCUAGGAUCCUUGCUGAUGCAUGAUGCAUACCGGUGCCCAGCGUGAGAGCCAUGGGAAGGCAGCACGCAGCCCUGGCUCUCCCGCCCAGGCCCCUGAUACCAGGCCAGAGAAAGACCCGCCACUAAGAGCUCAUUUCCCCCUGGCCGGAGACCCAGGGGUCUGUGGACUGCAGCGCUAGGGUCCAUGCCCAGGUACCCAUAUUCCUCAGUGGCCUCUGCCCACUGACCACCCCCGCUCUCUCCCUCACUGCUGAAUGUCCAGGACCUUACUCGACAAACACCCAUAGUUGUUCGAGGAGGAGUUAAUGUACUGAUGGAUGGAUGCAGGCAUUUGCUCAUUGACAUCACUGCCCACCCCACCAUCUGCUUGCCUUCUGGCCAUGCUUCAAGCAGGCACUUUGGAUACUGGACUGUCUUCUGUGAAUGUGGCUUUGGGCAGCACUAAUAACAAGAGCUAGUUACAGGGCCUCACUGUGUGCCAGGCACUGCACUGUGUACACUCUUACCUGUCCUGGUCGUUCAAUGAUUAAAUAUGCAGAUCUAGGAGGUGGCUCUUACAGAUGGGGAAGCUGAGGCAGAGAGAGGCAGAAUAACUUGCACACGGGCACACAGCUAGAAGACAAGCUAGCACCUGGGAAGUCAGUCUCCAGAGCCCAGGCAGGGAAGUGUGUUUUGCUAACUCUCUGGUGUGAGCCACCGUGGUUCCCAGGGCCUCAGUUUCCCCAUCUAAGUUGAGAGGGGUGAGUUGGUCCUCCCAGCAGCUGUUCAGUGUGUCACUCCUCACCCAUCCUUUUAAAGCCCUGCUUCCUGGUGAGAGUCUCCCCUAGGCCAGGGUUUCCAGGCAUUCAUUUGCAUGAAUCCCCUAGAGAGCCUAUUCAAAGGCAGGUUCUGACUCUUUGAGGUUCUGUGUUUCUAAGUAGCCCAGGUGAUGCUGAUGCCCCAUUCACGAAUGGCACUCUGAGGAGGGAGGGCCUAGGUCAUUUCCCUGGAAAUGUAAGGAGAACCUCUCCUCAAGGAGUUCUACAGCCAACUAACAAACCACCAGUCCACAGGGGUGCUGCUUCAGACAAGCUCGCCUAGUGAUGGAUUGGAAUAGGCCAAGUCAGUGCAGAACUCCUGAAGGUUAUUAAAAAUCACGGAUCUACCAUUAAUCCAGAAAUACUUUAAAGCAGUUGGCUAUGCCCAUCUAGGGCACUGUGUGCUUGGGAGGGUGGAUGUGAAGAUAGCACCUACAGCUGAGUAGGAAAAUGAACCUACACUAGCCACAAGGCAAUGUGGGCUGAGUGCCCAGGCAGCACUGGUUCAGGAUGCAGGUAUAGAAUUGAAAGAGAGGAAGCGGCUACUUCCUAGCAAGAUAUCCAGGGAAGGUAGCCCAAAGGAGGAAGCCUUUGAAGUGGGCCAUAGCAGUGAGCCAGUCAAGAUGGGAGGAGGAGUAGGGAAUGUGAGAAACACUGGGAGUCUUGGCCUCUAAUUGGCACCCUUAGGUGCAUUUCACCAAGAUUCCCUGGGCCGCUCCUACCAGAAAGAGACUAUCAGAAGUCAGAUUGCUCGCUCUCACCCUGCCUUAAGCAGAACCUCUAUCCCCACCAAGGAAUGUCUGACCUGGGAGGAGGAGUGAUCUCCUGGGCCCUGUGCUAUAGGCUGCCAUGGCCACUUCUCACCUGGUCCAGCUGCUGGCCUUGGAGCUUCCAAGCAACCUGAGCUGGUCCAUGCUGAGUUCCCCAGAGGCCAGCUUCUGCACCUAAAGUUUACAGCUAGGUAGGAAAACAGCUCUUCCAACUCCCACUUGCAACCCUUUCUCACCUAAGAACUUGAAAAAUUAUGUGUCUAUGAGCCAGUUGGGCAGACAGGUGAGAUGCCCUCAAUUUUGUACUUUAAAUCUCUCCCCGUGUGAAUCUUAGUCCCUGGUGCACCUCACUGAGCCUGAUUCCUUACCUCCUGAUGAUGCUUCCCGAAAUCCCCUUGCUCCCAGGUUAACAACUCCCACCCCCAGUGUCUCCUAGCAAUGGGCUCCACUUGCAAGAAUCUCUACUAUAUACAAAGCAUUCAUUCAUGUAUUCAUUCAUUCAUUCAUUCAUUCACUCACUCAGCAGAAGAUGAAUGAGUGCUUGUCAGAGUUAGGCUUGGAGUUGGUGGUAGACAAACAAAGGAAAGGCAGGCUUUGGAACUAGAAAGUGCCCUAUGAGUGAUUUAGGUAGAACUAUCCAAUGGCCAUGACCAGACUGGAUGAGCCUGUGAGAAUUGGGAGCAGGAAAACCAGCUAUAACCUCUUGCAACUGUCCAGGCUUGAAACACUAGAAGAUUCACUUGAAAAUUACUAGUGCUUUUGGCAGGGGCAUUUAUUCAGUGUUCACUGGGCAGCUGUGCCCUGCUGCAAACAUGGUAGGCACUGAGAAGACAACAGUCAGCAAGGCAGUCUCUGUGCCUGAGAGGCUCCUGGGAUGAGGAAGGAGAUAGGUUCAUAGUCAGGUCACCCCUCCAGGCUGCAGAGCGCUAGAGAAAAGUCCUUCCCACAAAGGUCCAGGCUUGGGGUAAAGAGCCUCCCAGACCUGGGGCUGCUGGGAGACCUGCCCAGAGGGUCCUGGAGGAGGAGGUGGGGGAAGGAAGGCAGCAUUCCAUACUCAAAGGUCUAGAGCUGCAAAAAGGCUCAGAGAAUUCCAGAUGCAGGACUUUUAAUGAAGCUGGAGCACAGACUGCAGCUCUGUGGGGAUAAGUGUGAUGGGGAGUGAGAGAAGUAAGAGGGGUCAGACUUUCUGGUACAGAGGAGAAAGCUGGCCUUGGUCUAAAAGGGACAUGAACACCCUAGAGUCUCCUCCUGAGAGUGGCUGGAUCGGGGUGUGCUUAGACCCCAGGCAGCAGUGGGGGAGGUGGGAGUGGGGAGGUUGCAGGCAGCCCUGCUGUCAGAGGCUGGGCAAAAGUCCUGGCGAAGAGCAGUGAGGGCCUGGUCUGAGGCCCAGAUCGUGCAGAAGUGAUGAAAUUCAGGGAUGAAUGGGACGAAGGACUGGCCCAAGGUGACUUGGUGCUGUCAGAUUGGGAGACUGAGUGGACAGAGGGAGUCUCAGGCAUAGGGAGACAAUAUGGAACUCGGUCAGGACAUCUCGGUGGAGAUUCAGGGCUCAAAAGGGACAGAGUGUCUGGGGUUGGAGACUUGAGUCAUGUGAGGGGCUUGUGGACAGGUCAUCUCAGGAGCUCUGAAGUGUUUAGGGAAAGAGGCCAGAACCCUGGGGACAGUGGCACUUAAAGGGUCUCUGUCUCAUGCCACAGGUGGGAAAGUUCAGUUAGAGAAGUGGGGACAGAGCCAGAAGAGAGCACCUUGGCAAUAUCUAAGGCCAUAAGGCCUAUUAGGACAAGGGUUAAACAAUUAGGACAGAUUGUUAAACUUGUUGGGUAGGUGGUAUGCAGUGGCCUAAGCAGGAACAGCUCUAUUAUCCAGGUGGGGAUGGCAGCUCCACUAUAGUGGUCAAGUCCUAAAUGGUGAGUAAGGGUAGAGGUUUUCCCACUGGUGAGCCCCCUGAAAACCUUGGCCUCCUAGUCUGGAAGAUAUUAGGUUGCUGCAAAAGUAAUUGCGGC
RNAcentral lists this long non-coding RNA (4789 nucleotides) under Homo sapiens (human). Its description in RNAcentral is "non-protein coding lnc-SLC39A6-1:5". Lineage: Eukaryota; Metazoa; Chordata; Mammalia; Primates; Hominidae. The record is from RNAcentral.